RNAcentral lists this long non-coding RNA (229 nucleotides) under Serinus canaria (Common canary). RNAcentral describes it as "lncRNA (ENSSCAG00000009504.1)". Lineage: Eukaryota; Metazoa; Chordata; Aves; Passeriformes; Fringillidae. The record is from RNAcentral.
GCCGAGGCUGUGCGCCACAGAGCCCCGGUGAGUCAGCAGUCCCGAAACACUCUGCCAGCGGCUGCCUGGCUCUGCGCUACGAGGAGAAACACGCCAUUCUCGCAGAGUGCAUGUGCACAUGCUUGGGGCCGCGCUGGGCAGGGCCAAGUGGAGAUGGUGCUGCACACCCAGGCCUCGGCAAUACAGAAGAGAAAUCAACCAGCAAACCAAGAAGGAACUGAGCUGCAAG